CACACCGCCCGUCACACCAUGGGAGUGGGUUUCCACCAGAAGCAGGUAGCCUAACCGCAAGGAGGGCGCCUACCACGGUGAGAUUCAAUGACUGGGGGUGAAGUCGUAACAAAGGUACCC
This 120-nucleotide ribosomal RNA is filed under the name uncultured bacterium. RNAcentral's name for it is "partial 16S ribosomal RNA". It matches the Rfam family "Bacterial small subunit ribosomal RNA", at positions 1386 to 1501 of the family's 1533-position model. The record is from RNAcentral.